GUGGGGAAUUUUGGACAAUGGGCGCAAGCCUGAUCCAGCAAUGCCGCGUGCAGGAAGAAGGCCUUCGGGUUGUAAACUGCUUUUGUACGGAACGAAACGGUCCUGGCUAAUAUCCGGGGCUAAUGACGGUACCGUAAGAAUAAGCACCGGCUAACUACGUGCCAGCAGCCGCGGUAAUACGUAGGGUGCGAGCGGUAAUCGGAAUUACUGGGCGUAAAGCGUGCGCAGGCGGUGCUGUAAGACAGGCGUGAAAUCCCCGGGCUCAACCUGGGAAUUGCGCUUGUGACUGCAAGGCUGGAGUGCGGCAGAGGGGGAUGGAAUUCCGCGUGUAGCAGUGAAAUGCGUAGAUAUGUGGAGGAACACCGAUGGCGAAGGCAAUCCCCUGGGCCUGCACUGACGCUCAUGCACGAAAGCGUGGGGAGCAAACAGGAUUAGAAACCCGGGUAGUCC
Molecule: ribosomal RNA, 450 nt
Filed under: uncultured bacterium
Lineage: Bacteria
Description: partial 16S ribosomal RNA
Rfam family: Bacterial small subunit ribosomal RNA
Source: RNAcentral